CCUACGGUGAGCAGCAGUGAGGAAUAUUGGUCAAUGGACGCAAGUCUGAACCAGCCAUGCCGCGUGCAGGAAGACGGCUCUAUGAGUUGUAAACUGCUUUUGUACGAGGGUAAACGCAGAUACGCGUAUCUGUCUGAAAGUAUCGUACGAAUAAGGAUCGGCUAACUCCGUGCCAGCAGCCGCUGUAAUACGUAGGAUUCAAGCGUUAUCCGGAUUUAUUGGGUUUAAAGGGUGCGUAGGCGGUCGGAUAAGUUAGAGGUGAAAUCCCGAGGCUCAACUUCGGAAUUGCCUUUGAUACUGUUCGGCUAGAGAGUAGUUGCGGUAGGCGGAAUGUAUGGUGUAGCGGUGAAAUGCUUAGAGAUCAUACAGAACACCGAUUGCGAAGGCAGCUUACCAAGCUACUUCUGACGUUGAGGCACGAAAGCGUGGGGAGCAAACAGGAUUAGAUACCCGAGUAGUC
RNAcentral lists this ribosomal RNA (460 nucleotides) under uncultured bacterium. Its description in RNAcentral is "partial 16S ribosomal RNA". It matches the Rfam family "Bacterial small subunit ribosomal RNA", at positions 338 to 795 of the family's 1533-position model. The record is from RNAcentral.